GGUGCUAUGGCUUAGUUGGUUAAAGCACCUGUCUAAUAAACAGGAGAUCCUGGGUUUGAAUCCCAGCAGUGCCU
This 74-nucleotide transfer RNA is filed under the name Mus pahari (shrew mouse). RNAcentral describes it as "tRNA-Ile (AAT) (tRNA-Ile-AAT-3-1)". It matches the Rfam family "tRNA". From Rfam's summary of the family: Transfer RNA (tRNA) molecules are approximately 80 nucleotides in length. Their secondary structure includes four short double-helical elements and three loops (D, anti-codon, and T loops). The record is from RNAcentral. Lineage: Eukaryota; Metazoa; Chordata; Mammalia; Rodentia; Muridae.